Molecule: long non-coding RNA, 654 nt
Organism: Neodiprion fabricii
Lineage: Eukaryota; Metazoa; Arthropoda; Insecta; Hymenoptera; Diprionidae
Exons: 3
Source: RefSeq, a predicted model, not a curated record
AUGUUGAAACAAUCAAUUCGUUAAAUAAUAACAAAGUAUUGGAAUCUAUCAUUAUUAACGACAAUGAUUCUAGUGUGAUUAACUUUGAAGAAACUAGUACUACUGAUGAUGGAAAAAUUUUAGAGUUUAUAUUAAAAUCUGGUCAAGUUAAUAAUGAAGAACAACCAACUGAUAACGACAAUGUAAUACAAUCUACUCUUUCAAACUUAAAUGAACACAACUUUAUUGAAUUAGCAAUUCCUGUUGUUUAUGACAACUCGAUUGUACCUGUACAGCAUGGAGAGAUUACAACAGAACUCACGAUUACUCAUCUCAAAGAUCCGGUAAUUAAUGAAAAUCAUCAAGUCGAACUCGAGAAGGAAAAUUUAAAUGGUGUUUCUCAAAAAACUGGCGUACAUCAUUCUAUUGAUGAGACUACAUCAACAGCUAUUGAUAAAGAUAAGUCACCGAAGAGACCAUUUAAGAAAAUAUUUACUUUACCGGUGGAUUAUUUACCAAAAAAAAAAAAGAAUUAAACUUGAAAAAUCAGGCAAGUCAAAGCUACCAUCUGUGGGAACCUCCGAUGAAUGGUACCAGCAACAAUUGGAAAAGGACAAAAAGAAAAAAAUGAAAGAAGAAAAACAAAAACAUAAAAAAAAAUUGCAAGAAGAAAAA